ACAGCUUUCACACUGUCACACACUCCAUCACUCGGUCAGGAGAGUAGAAGCGUGACAGCACAUCCUCUGCCACCCACAGACACAAACAAAGGCCUGACAGGUCUUCACUGCAGCACACACACGCGAGCACACACACGCACCCUCUCGAUUUGUCUCCCAGCCUUCUCUGGUACAGAUGUGCUAUAACUCACUCACACACGCUAACGUUCAGCGAGCAUUGUUUGUUACAGGGAUGGUCUCAGGCACACACACACACACACACAUACAUACGCAUACACACUGCCCUGUUUUUCCACUCUCGCGUGUUAUUGGCAUCACUCACUCUGUGCAAGGUCUUUCCAUCGCUCCUUUUCCUCUCCUCUAUCUCUCCCCCUCUACCUCUUCCUCUCUUCUAUUUGGAACGGUGGGAGAAAGGUUGGAAAUGUGCAUGGCAUGGAACAAAUUUCCGUUUACUGGUACUUUCUCUCUCUUUCUCUCUCUCUCUUUCCUUCUCGCUCGCUCUCUUUUUAUAUCUCUCUCUCUCUCUUUCCUUCUCUCUCUCUCUCUCUCUCUCUUUUUAUUUCUCUCCCUCUAACUUUUUAUGUAUUCAGGGAGAACUAUGCAUACAGACAAUAUGGUUUCAUUCCAUUUGAUAUGAACACACUUCACCAAGCUUUUACAAAGCAGAUAUGUUCUAUAUUGGCAGGUUUCAAUACCAGGCUGAUAUAAUGGGAGGUUUUAAUACCAGGCUGAUAUAUUGGGAGGUUUUAAUACCAGGCUGAUAUAUUGGGAGGUUUCAAUACCAGGCUGGUGUAAUGGGAGGUUUUAAUACCAGGCUGAUAUAAUGGGAGGUUUUAAUACCAGGCUGGUAUAUUGGGAGGUUUCAAUACCAGGCUGGUGUAAUGGGAGGUUUUAAUACCAGGCUGAUAUAUUGGGAGGUUUUAAUACCAGGCUGAUAUAUUGGCAGGUUUCAAUACCAGGCUGGUAUAUUGGGAGGUUUUAAUACCAGGCUGAUAUAAUGGGAGGUUUCAAUACCAGGCUGGUAUAUUGGGAGGUUUCAAUACCAGGCUGGUGUAAUGGGAGGUUUUAAUACCAGGCUGAUAUAUUGGGAGGUUUUAAUACCAGGCUGAUAUAUUGGCAGGUUUCAAUACCAGGCUGGUAUAUUGGGAGGUUUCAAUACCAGGCUGAUAUAUUGGGAGGUUUUAAUACCAGGCUGAUAUAAUGGGAGGUUUCAAUACCAGGCUGGUAUAAUGGGAGGUUUCAAUACCAGGCUGAUAUAUUGGCAGGUUUCAAUACCAGGCUGAUAUAUUGGGAGGUUUCAAUACCAGGCUGAUAUAUUGGGAGGUUUCAAUACCAGGCUGAUAUAUUGGCAGGUUUCAAUACCAGGCUGGUGUAAUGGGAGGUUUCAAUACCAGGCUGGUAUAUUGGGAGGUUUUAAUACCAGGCUGGUAUAUUUGGAGGUUUUAAUACCAGGCUGAUAUAAUGGGAGGUUUUAAUACCAGGCUGAU
This 1487-nucleotide long non-coding RNA is filed under the name Salmo salar (Atlantic salmon). Its description in RNAcentral is "lncRNA (ENSSSAG00000091678.1)". Lineage: Eukaryota; Metazoa; Chordata; Actinopteri; Salmoniformes; Salmonidae. The record is from RNAcentral.